UACAAUUUAAUGGCCGCAGUACCCUGACUGUGCUAAGGUAGCGUGAUUCUUGUUUUCUUAAUUAGAAAUCUGUUCAAAGAAUGAAAUGGAGAGAAUCUAUUGUUUCUAUAGCAAGUGAAUUUAAAAUGUUAGUGAAAAUUCUGACAAGUCCUUAAAAGACGAGAAGACCCCAUAAAACUUAAUUUGAUCUCUUUCUUAAGAGUUUAAAAUUUAAAUGGGGACUUUAGAGUAUAAUAAUAACUUAAAGACCUAUAUUUAUAUUAUUAGUGAAGCUACUUUGGGGAUAACAGGGUAAAAUAUUUAGAGAGUUCAUAUCGAUAAAUAUAUCUACUAC
RNAcentral lists this ribosomal RNA (334 nucleotides) under Brachionus manjavacas. Its description in RNAcentral is "partial large subunit ribosomal RNA". It matches the Rfam family "Bacterial large subunit ribosomal RNA", at positions 1918 to 2524 of the family's 2925-position model. The record is from RNAcentral. Lineage: Eukaryota; Metazoa; Rotifera; Eurotatoria; Ploima; Brachionidae.